RNAcentral lists this non-coding RNA (30 nucleotides) under Rattus norvegicus (Norway rat). Lineage: Eukaryota; Metazoa; Chordata; Mammalia; Rodentia; Muridae. The record is from RNAcentral.
UGGAAUCGUCCAUAAUUGCUAGGGAAUGGG